CACACGUAAAAAAAAAAAAAAAUGUCGGUCAUGCAACUGAUGAAAGCAAGCAAGAAGCAAACACACGCAUAAACAGCUGCUUCUUGGCCUCUACCAUUUGUAGUGGGGACUCUGUGGGCCUCACACUCGCCUUGGAAGCAGAAUCUCGACAGCAGCGCCCGGAAAUAGAAGCGCCAUGAGCCGGACGCUAAUCAGCUGUUUGUCUGAGGCGAGGAAAGGGGCGGCUGCUCAAUUUAACUUUUCAGCGUCAUUAUCUCCUGUCAUGGAAACCAAGCAUCUUAGUACGGGAUCGACAUGUCCCCCUCAGGAGGUGGGAGUUCUGCGGUGCUACAGUAUGAAGUUCUGCCCGUUCGCACAGCGCACCAGACUCAUCCUUGUGGCUAAGAAUGUGAAACAUGACAUCGUGAAUGUAAACCUGAAGACCAAACCAGAAUGGCUGUUUGAGAAGAACCCCCUCGGAAAGGUUCCCGCCCUGGAGAAAGACGGGAAGAUGCUUUUUGAGUCCCUCGUCACCUGCGACUACCUGGACGAGGCCUACCCAGACCCCCCCCUCUACCCCUCCGACCCCUGGCAGAAGGCGCAUGACCGGGUUUUCAUGGAACUGUGGUCGAAGGUGACAGGCCCGAUGUACAAAGUGUACUUCGCAAAGGGAGAUAAGGAGGCGCUUGCCAAGGCAGUCGAGGACAUUCAUGCUGGUUUGGGCCUUUUCGAGACUGAGUUGAAAAAGAGAGGCACCGUGUUCUAUGGUGGAGAGAAACCUGGCAUGCUGGACUACAUGAUUUGGCCGUGGGUUGAGAGACUCCCAAUGGCAGAGAUGAUGGCUGGAGACUUGAAGGUGUUCCAGCAAGAAACCUUUCCCAGACUGUCCUCUUGGAUGGAGGCAAUGACACAGGACAAAGUUGUUCAGGCCACCUACUUGCCGCCAGAAGCACAUUUCGAGUACCUCACCUCAGUUAGAAAUCGGAUGGGGAUGCCGCCCAAGCUGUAGCAAAACUUGAUGAUGAACUUUCUCUAGGUGGAGUUAAGUUCAUAGUUCGAAGGUUAUAUCAUUUUGUCCCGGGGGGCGUCUUUUGUGCUGGAGAUACGCGGCUAAGCUGGCGGAUGUCUUUUGAUUUUGGAAGUGAAAUUUGAAUGGGCGGAGAAAAUGAAGGAAGACAAAGCCGUGAGCGCAGUCUUCAUAAGUGCCGAGUCCCAUUUCAAGUUCCUGAAGUCACACAUCGACGGUGCUCCAGAUUACGACAUGGAGGUGUAGGGGGCUUAAUCAUUCCAAGAUGGAGCGGAAACGUGUGGAAAUUCAAUGGAAAUGUUGUUUAUGUGUAGGCUGUUUUCUGUUCGGAUUUGUUCAGGCUUUGAAUGACGUUCUUUAUACUUCAUGAUUUGUUCAGUCAAUGGAUUAUUUUCUUAUUGAUAGGUUGUCUCUCAUUUUAAGAAGGUAAUGUGUUUUUUCGGAAAGCUUUUAAAUACAUAUUAUCAAUUAAAUACUUAAUUGUCCAUUAAAUUAUGAUAAAAAGCUUCUGUUCUGAAUAUCUCCAUAUAUUAAGCUGAAUAUGUGUUGGUGAAUAGGUGUAUGUAUAUCAGUUAUCAUUAAAAACUUGAUAUGUUUCAAUGACUUUAUGUAUUAAUAUCAGGAAUAAUAAUAAGUCAGUUGAUUAUA
Penaeus indicus is the source of this 1654-nucleotide RNA transcript. It is a transcript of the gene named pyrimidodiazepine synthase-like, with no coding region annotated. The record is from RefSeq and is a predicted model, not a curated record. Lineage: Eukaryota; Metazoa; Arthropoda; Malacostraca; Decapoda; Penaeidae. The transcript is spliced from 8 exons.